RNAcentral lists this ribosomal RNA (253 nucleotides) under uncultured bacterium. RNAcentral describes it as "partial 16S ribosomal RNA". It matches the Rfam family "Bacterial small subunit ribosomal RNA", at positions 524 to 776 of the family's 1533-position model. The record is from RNAcentral.
UACGUAGGGGGCAAGCGUUGUCCGGAUUUAUUGGGCGUAAAGAGCUCGUAGGCGGCCUGUUGCGUCCGCUGUGAAAGCCCGGGGCUUAACCCCGGGUCUGCAGUGGAUACGGGCAGGCUAGAGGUAUGUAGGGGAGAAUGGAAUUCCCGGUGUAGCGGUGAAAUGCGCAGAUAUCGGGAGGAACACCGGUGGCGAAGGCGGUUCUCUGGGCCUUACCUGACGCUGAGGAGCGAAAGCGUGGGGAGCGAACAGG